CUACGGGAGGCAGCAGUGAGGAAUAUUGGGCAAUGGGCGGAAGCCUGACCCAGCAACGCCGCGUGAAGGAUGAAGGCCUUCGGGUUGUAAACUUCUUUUAUGGGGGAAGAGAGAGGACGGUACCCCAGGAAUAAGUCACGGCUAACUACGUGCCAGCAGCCGCGGUAAUACGUAGGUGACAAGCGUUAUCCGGAAUUACUGGGCGUAAAGCGCACGCAGGCGGCUGCUUAAGUCUGACGUGAAAUCUCCUGGCUUAACUGGGAGGGGUCGUUGGAAACUGAGUAGCUUGAGGCAGUGAGAGGGGUGUAGAAUUCCCGGUGUAGUGGUGGAAUGCGUAGAUAUCGGGAGGAAUACCAGAGGCGAAGGCGACACCCUGGCACUGACCUGACGCUCAUGUGCGAAAGCGUGGGGAGCGAACGGGAUUAGAAACCCCUGUAGUCC
RNAcentral lists this ribosomal RNA (441 nucleotides) under uncultured bacterium. RNAcentral describes it as "bacterial SSU rRNA". It matches the Rfam family "Bacterial small subunit ribosomal RNA", at positions 339 to 796 of the family's 1533-position model. The record is from RNAcentral.